UAUUUUUAAAUAAUAGUUUACUCUUUUGCAACCCAGAACUCAUUGCUCAGUAUGAGUUUUGAUACAUAUAAGAAGGAACAUG
Molecule: small nucleolar RNA, 82 nt
Filed under: Myotis brandtii (Brandt's bat)
Lineage: Eukaryota; Metazoa; Chordata; Mammalia; Chiroptera; Vespertilionidae
Description: Small nucleolar RNA SNORA40
Rfam family: Small nucleolar RNA SNORA40
About the family: The snoRNA ACA 40 belongs to the H/ACA family of snoRNAs and guides the pseudouridylation of 28S rRNA subunit at position U4565.
Source: Rfam by way of RNAcentral